UAGUAUACAAAUCAACUAAUGAUAGAAUUUAGAAAUAAACUAAAUUUAGGAGGGUCAGAGUUGAAAUGAAUUGCCAAAAGUCUAUAGCAACUUAAUGGCAAACCUGGAAAUUAACCCUAUCAGUUUUAAAUGAAUGAAUGAAUGGUACCCAAGUUCGAUGGGGUUUACAGCAAUCUAUCAGCACUAUGGUAACCAAAAUAAAUCCAUCUGAGGAUCUAUAAAUAUCAUUGAAAAGAGCCUCAGUUCUUCUUCCACAAAAAAGGGAAUCGGUCCUUUCUGCUUGACAUCUGCACUCAACCAGUUUGUUUGCGCAGGUCCUGAAAAGAAGAAGAAAAAAACUUUCUGUCGUAACCAUAUUUGUUGGUCACUUUGGUUUAAUUGUUUGAUCCUGAGUUCAUUUUGGAGGUGCCCCUACAUACCAAACCGUGUGACUGUAUUCAUUACUACAUUUGGAAAUUUUCUAUUUGGCUGAGAUGUUUUGGGCCAUCUUAAUAGCAAAUGUGGUCAUAUCUCAACUAAAAUGGGAAAAACGUUAUCCCACUGGGAUAGUACCAAUUUUAAAAUAUUAGUAAAUUCAAUAAAACGUCUUAAGAUGUCAUGUAUGGUAACAGACAAAACAAAUGUUUUUUCUGAAUUGAAGUGAAAGCAG
This 649-nucleotide long non-coding RNA is filed under the name Bos taurus (domestic cattle). Its description in RNAcentral is "long non-coding RNA NONBTAT001151". The record is from RNAcentral. Lineage: Eukaryota; Metazoa; Chordata; Mammalia; Artiodactyla; Bovidae.